UGCCAGCAGCCGCGGUAAUACGUAGGGGGCAAGCGUUGUCCGGAUUUACUGGGUGUAAAGGGCGCGUAGGCGGGUUUGUAAGUCAGAGGUGAAAUCCUGCGGCUCAACCGUAGAACUGCCUUUGAAACUACAAACCUUGAGUUUGGAAGAGAGAGAUGGAAUUCCAGGUGUAGUGGUGAAAUUCGUAGAUAUCAGGAGGAACACCAGUGGCGAAGGCGGCUUUCUGGACCGAUACUGACGCUGAGACGCGAAAGCGUGGGGAGCAAACAGGAUUAGAUA
RNAcentral lists this ribosomal RNA (279 nucleotides) under uncultured bacterium. RNAcentral describes it as "partial 16S ribosomal RNA". It matches the Rfam family "Bacterial small subunit ribosomal RNA", at positions 506 to 784 of the family's 1533-position model. The record is from RNAcentral.